GGCGUUUUUCAAUAAAAACGUACUUUCUUGUCCCAGCCACUUUAAAAAAAAAUGUGUUUGAUCUUUGCAAGUAAUUUUUUGUGCAGUCAGUACAUUGAAUUAGAUAUAACAUUUUUAAGCAAAGAAACAGUUUAUUUUUUUAGAGGGAUUGAUAAGAUAUUGAUUCCUGAAUGGUCCAAAACAACCAAAAUGGCAUGUCCCUAGACCGCCUGUUCAACAUUCAUACUCUCAAAUAUCGUAAAAAAAUGUAGAAAUAAAUAUUAAUUUUACUUAAUAUAAGUUCUUUAAUAAUUCAAAAGUAUGUUUAGAGCCAACAUAUUUUAAUAAACAGCUUUUAACAUAGGAUUUUUUAUUUUAGAAGGUGUGUCCCUAACACAAUGUCCACUACGAAACG
RNAcentral lists this long non-coding RNA (394 nucleotides) under Mytilus galloprovincialis (Mediterranean mussel). Lineage: Eukaryota; Metazoa; Mollusca; Bivalvia; Mytilida; Mytilidae. The record is from RNAcentral.